Eriocheir sinensis (Chinese mitten crab) is the source of this 1804-nucleotide long non-coding RNA. RefSeq lists it as uncharacterized. NCBI's taxonomy places the organism in Eukaryota, Metazoa, Arthropoda, Malacostraca, Decapoda, Varunidae. The record is from RefSeq and is a predicted model, not a curated record. The transcript has 3 exons.
UCCAGCAGGCAGUGACGUGGGCAAGCCGACGAGCACACAGGUGGCCCAGAAGGUGGCAGCGGGUUUGGUGUGUCCAGGUUCUUCCCAGGGCGUCCCGCGGCCAGGUGAUGCUGCUGCUGGCCAAGGUGUGACGAUGAUGGCCUUCACCUGGUCUUCCAUAUGGCGCUAAUCCAGGAAAGAAGAAGUGAUAUGCUCUUAUAAGCUCAGAGGAUAAAGAAGAAAUAGAUAACAAGGCAAUCAGAUCAAGUAUUGGUAUCACUGGGACGGCCUAUAACAACCUAAGGCGUCUAUGAUAGCUAAGGAGAUGAUCAGGUAGUGAGCAGUCACGUUUGGAGAAUAAAAAGAAAUAUAUGGGACGGUCUAACAACCUAACGAGUUUGUGAUAGCUAUGGAGAUGAUUAGGUAGUCAGCAGUCACGUUCGGAGACUAAAAAGAAAUAUAUGACAAGGCAAUCGGCUGAAGUAUUGGUAUCACUGAGACGCCUAACAACCUAACAAGCUCAUAACAACUAAGGAGAUGGUUAGCCAGUGGUCACAUACUAAAUCGCCGCUCCAGGAUCAAAUAACAACAAAAUCACCAUGGAAUUACCUCGAGAUAAACACAGAUCUGGCCGCAAGAGGGCGCGCACCACCACCAGCUUCAGCAUUCUCCUCAGCAGCCUCUCCCGGGAGCUCUAGCAGGAAGAGAUUUAUCGUGUAUAUCUUGUAAAAUCCGCCUCCCUGGUGUGUUUGUGUGGACGCUAAUCACAUCUGCAAGCCACCGGUAGAAGCUCAAGCAGUCUAGUGUGUGUGUGUAUAUUGCAAUAAUGACAACACAGCAUAUGAAACGAUGCAGUGCAGGCAGACCACAGAGCCCCCGCCCCCUCCUGCCUCCAGCCAAGUCCAUAACUCAUUGAAAGAAAAAAAAUACGAGGGAGCGAUGGAAGUGAGUGAAGAAGCGAAGCAAGAAGAGAAAUAGAGGAACGAGAGAGGAGGAGAAAUGAAUGAGGCAGGAAGUGAGGGAAUGAAUGAGGAGGGGGAGGGGGAGCGCGAGCCAUGAUUUGGAAACGGCCAAGACUCCCUUUAGCGAAUACGAGAUGCGGGGAAGGAAAAGAAGGACCAGUGGCUAUUUAGAAGCAUCGGAAAGCCCACUAGUGAAGCUGCCUUUGACUGGACACCUGCUACUGGGGGUCAUAUCAUCGCUUGAGGUGGGUGGAGUUAUCCUGCAUCGGUUUACUGCAAGUUUUCUCGAGUAUAACCCAAUCUAACCAUCUAGACUCCUUGGUUUACUUAGACACAUCUGCAUUUAGUGGAAUUCAUGUUCUUGAUCUAUUCUGCCAUCUGCAAUUGUAGAAUCUUAUGAAAGUUUCUCUGUACCAAAGGCGCCCACCUCGACACGUCACUUGUCACUUCUCUCCUUUCCCAACCAUGAAUGUCCCCCUCAUAUUAGUUAUUUUUCCCUGGUAAAUUGCUGUUACUAGAGGGUUGUCAGGCACCAUAGGGAUUCAGGUAGUCAUACAUUAGUGAUAACUGCCAUUAAGAGGAAAGUCUUAAUUGUAUUUUUGGUUUCUGAUAUAAACACUUUUUAGAGAUCUCAAGGCUGUGUGAAGCUUUGUCUUGUAGGAAAGCUGUGUGCUUGUUAAGGCUAGAUUACUUCACUGUGAGGAACAAAGCACCCCCUGUAGUAUGCUGUGUAGGAAGCCCAAGUUAGUGUAUGGUUACUGAGGAGAGUCAAAUGAUGGUACAAUCCUUUUGCAUUAGAAUUAUUCGAUAAGGCCCGGCCGUAGUCGCCAUAAGGCGUUUGAUUCAGUGUAUCGCCGAGGUAC